Molecule: ribosomal RNA, 223 nt
Filed under: uncultured bacterium
Lineage: Bacteria
Description: partial 16S ribosomal RNA
Rfam family: Bacterial small subunit ribosomal RNA
Source: RNAcentral
GGAACCCGAAAGCCUGUCUCAGUUCGGAUUGGAGUCUGCAACCCGACUCCAUGAAGCUGGAUUCGCUAGUAAUCGCGCAUCAGCCACGGCGCGGUGAAUACGUUCCCGGGCCUUGUACACACCGCCCGUCAAGCCAUGGAAGCCGGGGGUGCCUGAAGUGCGCUGCCGCAAGGAGCGCCCUAGGGUAAAACCGGUGACUGGGGCUAAGUCGUAACAAGGUAAC